This 651-nucleotide long non-coding RNA is filed under the name Gossypium barbadense (sea-island cotton). Its description in RNAcentral is "long non-coding RNA (GBAR_LNC007319)". Lineage: Eukaryota; Viridiplantae; Streptophyta; Magnoliopsida; Malvales; Malvaceae. The record is from RNAcentral.
GGUGACAACUGAAGCAGCAUCCUUCCAGCCCACCAUCUGCAUUCUGCGUCGAAUGACAUCAAGAGGGUAAGCAACCGUCUGGCCAAUGGUUCCAGCAGCAGCUCCACAUGCAAGCCUUGUUGUGACACCCAGUUCAGAGUCCUCAACUAGCCCAAGGGGUUUCCUUUUGAUCAGCCAAUCUUUCAGAGAUUCAUAAACAGCAAAAUUAAGACCGACGUAAGGUACAUAUAAACAUCAUAAAAGUCAUUUAGGCCUUUGCAUACAAACAUAAGGAGAAUGAUUCUUCCCUUAUUGAAGGCCAAAACAGAUGCAAAGUGAAAGGGAAUAGACCAUUGUUUGCCAAUGAACAGCUAUGUGCAAUAACGAACCCAACACAUAAGCAGAAAUUUAGGAAGGGCUAGAAACAGAACGCAUCAUCCUAGCAGAUGUCUACGUCUAUCUGAAUGCAGAUUCCUGAAGUGCAAUAGAAAUUAAAGAGUGCAGGUUUCAACGCCAUAAGAGUUUUACUUACAACUCCUAUUACAGAUGGUAACCAGCCUUUGUACAAUGCACGGGGUCCUUCUUCCCUUAAUACUGUUAAAAGAGCAUGAAAGAUUCCUCUAUAUUGGCGAGGCAACUUCUCAGUCUGCAAAUAUAACACAUGAACAUUAG